Tachysurus vachellii is the source of this 1807-nucleotide long non-coding RNA. RefSeq lists it as uncharacterized. NCBI's taxonomy places the organism in Eukaryota, Metazoa, Chordata, Actinopteri, Siluriformes, Bagridae. The record is from RefSeq and is a predicted model, not a curated record. The transcript has 2 exons.
UUUUCUCAUCAGUUCUGAGCUCAGGACUGUGUGUCUCACAGCUUAAUCUGUACUUUAAUCCUUUUUCAUCCUGAAAUUCCAUCUUUAUAUUCAGAAUAUCUGAUCAAGUCCUUUUAAUUGUCCAGGAUGUUUCCUGUGUGAUGUGAUGACACAUCUUCCUGGUUUUACACUCAGGCUUCUGAAAGAGAACCGAUUUACCUGCAGGAACUUUCUACACAGGUAAAACUCACAUCGAUGAUGUCUAGUGUCUUCGCUCUGUAAAGAAUUUGGAUUUCUACAUGUAAAUCAGCUUGAAAGCGUCAGUGUCAUUGUCACGUCUUCGUCAUGUUAUCGCACCGCCCCACGUAGAGACAAAAACUAUUCACUUCCUUCAUGUCCACCAUUAGAAGAAUGCACACGGCGGCUCCUGAAGGUCAAAUAGAAUGAAGGUAAUGUUGAUGAACAAUUAGAAACAUUCCUGUAACCUGAUUUUCUGCUAGAGAACAAUGCUAAUUGUUGACCAUGUCAAUAUAUUUGCCCUCACAUGGAUGUGUUUUAAAAGGACAUCGUCAUCAUCAGACCCGGACACUUUACUGAGCUCUUUACGGUCCAUAAAUCCACAUAAUCUGAGCAUCACUCUGAAUCCCAGUUAUUCCAGUAUGGAGAGUUAUAGUGGUUCCUUCCACUUCCUGCAGUGUGACCGUCUCGUCUCCAGCUUCACACAGUAAACCUGCAUCACAGCUUCAGCUUCAUCAUUUCACUCACAAACAUCAUCACAUCCUCAUCACAUGAAGUCCAUUAAAACUACACUGUGAUACAGAUCUGUGAGUGCAGAUGAUGCUGCAUUUAGACCUGAAAAUGCACAAACUUUACAUUUCAUAGAAUCAGAUUUGUUCUGUAGAAAAUAUAUUAUUAUUUACUACAGUAGUGCAUCUAAGACCAGAUAUGGUAUAUUAUGAUAUACAUUGCCUUGCAAAAGUAUUCACUCCCUUAAACCUCAUGAGAUUUUUAUGAUAAAUGAAACACAGAUUAUUUGUCAGGGAUUUUAUUCCAAAAGCUUUUAAAGAACAUUUAAAAAGUCAAAACUAAUUUAUUUGUUUUGUGACAUUUGUUCUGCUAAAAGGAGAAAUGUUGUCCAAAUAUCUGGGUUUUUCUUAGAAGACUGAAGGUAUUUAUUCUAAAAAUUCCUUCUUUCUUCAGUUUUGACAUCCUGACUCCUUCAGGUUGACUGUUGGCCUCACUGUUGGCCUCCAUCACAGUCUUUGUCUAGAUAAUGCUUGUGUAUGUGGUGUGGAUGUAGCUUCCACUUCCUCACUACUGAGGUCAGUGGGAUGUCCAGCAAAUUGGAUAUAAUUUUACACCCUGUUCCAUCCUAUUAACUGAUCUUUUGUUCUUUCUUAGAAAGCUCCUUCAUUUUCACUUCUUUCACUCAGACUGACUGUGUCUUCAAUGGAAACUCAAUAAAAGUGGUUUUUAUUCAGAAAAUUAGAGCUGUUUUAAUAUUUCAGAGGUGAAAGACAAAUUUAUGUAAAAUGUUUUCUGGUUAAAACAAUAUCUUUUACCUGAACUUUAAGAUACUUUGGCAUCAGUAAUUAAUUGUGACUGAAAAUAGACUGUAAGAGAACAUGAGUGCAAUGAAAAUACUGAGAGGAAUAGUAGAUACAUUAUGAAUAGAUUCAUCAAAAAUUAUUAUGUGUAAUUCUCACAAACCUGACCAAUUCCAUGGGGUAAAUAAUUUUGCAAGUACUUUUGACUGUAUAUUUAAAGUUAUUUUUACUUAAAAAUGAAAAGAGGAUUUACAAUUAAAAAAUAUCAAAAGUAAAACUGA